RNAcentral lists this ribosomal RNA (280 nucleotides) under uncultured sulfate-reducing bacterium. Its description in RNAcentral is "partial 16S ribosomal RNA". The record is from RNAcentral.
UGGGUCACUGCCACACUCCCGCCAUCGAUGCCUCUGGGGGUGGUUAAGGCGAUCAUGGACUAAUCUCUUCGAUUUAUUCGGCUCAUGAACCCUUCCGGCCCAGGUCCGGAUCGCCCUGGGCCUGCUGCCUCAACAUGUGCGGCGCCGUGCAUUGUUCCGACAUCGCCAUCCUCGGGUGUUCACCGAAAACCGCCCAUUGAUCGAACACGAUCGGGUCCCCAGUGUCUGUGAAAUUCCCCUGGGUGGUGGCCUCUUGUCCGACGGGGGCCAUCUAAGCCCG